This 1134-nucleotide small RNA is filed under the name Rattus norvegicus (Norway rat). RNAcentral's name for it is "uncharacterized LOC100909729". Lineage: Eukaryota; Metazoa; Chordata; Mammalia; Rodentia; Muridae. The record is from RNAcentral.
CAGGCCGCCUCCCACCGCGUUCUUGCUCAGCGCCCGGCUCCCAGCCGCGAUUUCCGCAAGCUGUUCCGGUUCACGCCGGGGACUCGCGAGUGCGCGCGGACACAAUGACGGGACCGCAGGAGCUGGAGCGUCCGCGGCGCUGCACGGUGAAUCUUAGCUUGCCGGCCGGGUUUCGCGAGCCCCGCCCCACGCCUGCACACGUCGGCCCCGCCCCCUCCCCGCGGCCACGCCUCACGCCCGCUUGCUUCGCUUCCACCUUUGUGCUAGGACCCCGCGGUCUACACACAGCCCUUUUCCUUCCCACUGCUUUGGAAGCAGAUUCUCCAGGCGUGAAAGUGCGCAGUGGCCGGCACCCUGUCUAAAAGUCUUCGCCUUCUAGACGCCAAUGCGGCUCUCCGCUCUUCCGCUCUUGAGUCUCAACGGCAGGAAGUAGAUAGUGGCCCUAGGAGCCACGAGAGGGCGCGCACUGGAGGGGGGCCUUGUUGCUGCCUCUUGAGGGCGGCCGGCCAGUGUGUUGCUAAUGUUAGAAGGAGUUCCCAGUUGAGUUAGGAGCUCAUCUCCUGUCAAUCUCUUCGGAGGACUUGGGAGUCAGCCUGGGGACAGGAGCUGAAGUCAUGACGAAUUAACUGUAGUGUUCUGAGUUUUUGGACUACACUUGUUUUAUGUUUCACCUGCCGUAGAUUUUGUGCGUGGGUUGACUCGUGAACCAAGAUAAACGUUGAAAAGAUUUAAGAUGAGGAAAGCCACUUAAAUCCUUUCCAAAUAGUGAAGGGUACUGGGGCCCUUCUACCAUCCUCAACCAGGCAUAAACAGGUGAUAAAAUGAGACAAAGGAAGUUCCAUCAAAGAUGGAAGAUGUCAUCCGGCAAAGUCCUUCCUCCAGUCAGCCUCCUUGAAAGAUCAAAGUGGGUGCAACCAGGUUGCGUUCUCAACCUUUCUCAAAAAGUGUGCUUUGCCGCACACACUGCACACACUGCUCUUCCUUAGCCAGUCUCAUAAAAACGUGAGACCAGGCUCUGACUUCUCAGAGGAAGACACAAGACCCUUUAUGAAGAAUAAAACCCGGUAACACGACCACAUGACUUACCACAGUGCACCAUUUUGAAGAAUUAAAACUUUUGCCUGAUACCAGUUU